Molecule: long non-coding RNA, 686 nt
Filed under: Capsicum annuum
Lineage: Eukaryota; Viridiplantae; Streptophyta; Magnoliopsida; Solanales; Solanaceae
Description: long non-coding RNA (CANN_LNC002329)
Source: RNAcentral
AUAUUUUUUUCUUUCAGGAAAAGUAAAAGUAAUUAUGGUAACUUUUAUUUUCCUUCUAAGAAAAAGUAAAACUUAAAUAUAGUAAGAAAAUUAGGACAAAAAUCCUAACAAAUCUCCCCUUUUUGGCUUGAUUUUCUUCACUUGAUCUGCCUUCUUCACAUCUUUAAUCGUUUUUUUUUUUCAUAUAGUCUUCAUCAUUGCUGCUUGGCAUGCUUAAAAAUAGAGCUUUUGGGUUAGAAGUAUAUGAGCCUUUUUCGGGUUAAAAAUAUUGGAGUCCUUUAUAGGGUUAAAAAUAAGAUUUCUUUUCAAAUAUAAAACAAUAGGAUUAUUGAAAAUAUGAUUGACAAUCAUCUCCACAUGUAGCUUUUGAACAUAUAUCUUCAUUAUCAUCAAAUUGAUUGCAACUUUGUUCGACAAUUGGACCAUCGAAUCAUUGAACCGUGGGUUUUGAUACCACUUGUUGGAUUCGAAAUCAAAAGGGCGUCAUGCGGAAGCUAUUAGUUGCAAACUACGAGACGAUAAAUAAGAUGACAACGAAAAACAAUACUAAAAACAUAAUUUUAUUAUAUGAUUUGGCCAAUUGGCCUACAUAUAAAACCUAAUACUAAAAAUAAUAUUAAAAAACAUAAAACUAAUGAGAGAGAAAAUCUCCCCCUAAACGAAAUUCUUAAAAGACUACAUCGUGG